Molecule: long non-coding RNA, 15544 nt
Organism: Loxodonta africana (African savanna elephant)
Lineage: Eukaryota; Metazoa; Chordata; Mammalia; Proboscidea; Elephantidae
Exons: 2
Source: RefSeq, a predicted model, not a curated record
UGGUCCCAUUUGCUGCGGCGCCUACAGAAAGACAAAGAUAAAUAUUAACUCCCAAAGCUUUCAUUUAUAUUAUUCUUCCCUUACAGCGACUUUAACACCCCAUUUUCCUUCUACCCUGAUUCCUUUACCCCUCCGAUCUUCUACCGAGUCUAAAAUUCCAUUUCUCCUUAAAUAGACAAUUAAAGACUCUACGUCUCAAAAUCCCCAUUUCUUUCAACCCUUUCUCAGUGUCCACUUCCUUUCUACUCUGUUAUCUCCACGGAAAAGACUCCACUCUGUGCCACAUGCCCUCGUUUUCGCCGUCAUCUUGGCUCGCCCUUCCGAAAGUAUCGGCUUCUCUCCUCCCUCCGCUCCCCGCCAACCCUUUCAAGGGCCCCAGGCCUGCUCCCCAUCUUUCUCCCCAAGAGUCCGACCCUCCAAUCCGUACACUUCCCGCUUAAACGCCCCUCCACACAAACGCAGCUUCCGUGAUCCCUCUGUCUCUCCCGUGACCCCACGCUCACUCCAAUGUCCUCGCCCAAAAAGCCUCACCCGCCAGCUCCAGGAUGCGUCGCGCUCCCCGCGGACAUGGCGACCGGCUGUGCUCAACCACCCGCCAACUACCCCACUACCACCUUCCCGUCACUUCCGCCCCCAACGCCCUUACGCACAGUCCCUUCCGGUCUUGUGGUCAAGCGCUUCCGGUAGCAAUGUCGAUUCCGAUUGGACUGUACGUGAUUUAAAGGCGUCUAGCGUUGUCUGAGACAGGUAGGGUGUGAUCUUCCGGCUUGUGACUAACCCUUGAGAAAGAUGGCUGCUAUGAGUUAUUUAAAGGCAGAAAUGGGGCGAGGAGAAUCCAUCUUUGUUAUGGGCAAGUUGGUAGCCAGGAAGACAGUACGCAUGAGUGAGAGAGUAGAGGGCGUUCUCGCCCAAAUUCAGCUACGUUUGUCUGGUGUUCUAGCAUCUGGCCUUGGAGAGAGACUUCCUGCGACUUUUACAACGCUUUACGCUUCAGUUAUCUAUUUAGGGAAAGGGAAUCGAUAUGUUUCAAAGUCAUUUGAAGAAUUUCCUGGCUUUUUCAUUUUUGUGCCCCAAGCCCUGCUUUAAAAACAGAGGGUAUAAAAAUGAGUAAGUCACGAGUAUUGCCUUUCUGGUACUCACAAUGUAGCAGGGUAGGCAUGGGGGCAAUUACAUAUAAUACGGUUGGGGGCACAGUGGUUAAAGCGCUCGGCUGCCAACUCUCGGGGUUCAAACAUACUAGACGCUCUGCGGAGGAAACAUGGCAGGCUGCUUGCUAAAAGAUUUACAGCCUUGCAAACUGUGGGGACGCCGUACUCUGUCCCGUAGGGUCGGUAUGAGUCGGAAUCGACUCUAUGGCAAUGUUUUUGUUUUUAAUUAAAAACAGGAAUAAGAUGAUAUAUUCAACUCGGUGGGGCAUCUAAGGGAUCUGAAGGAAAUGGAAGCUAAACAAGUCAGGUGAGAGCUGGAGAAGAGACGCUGCGAUCCAGUGUAAGCAACCCUGUGCAUAUUUUUCCACCACUUUUCCGUCAGUUUGUUGUACUGUUGUGGCUUGCAUGUUGCUGUGAUGCCAGAAGCUAUGCCACCAGUAUUUCAGAUAUCAGCAGGGCCACCUAUGGUGGACAGGUUUCAGCGGAGCUUCUAGACUAAGACAGACUAGAAAGAAGGACCUGGCAGUCUACUUCUGAAAAGAGUUAGCCAGUGAAAACCUUAUGAAUAGCAGCAGAACAUUGCCUGAUAUCGGGCUGGAAAAUGAGCCCCUCAGGUUGGAAGGCACUCAGAAUAAAACUGGGGAAGAGAUGCCUCCUGAAAGUAGAGUUGACCUAAAUGACAUGGAUGGAGUCAAACUUUUGGGACCUUCAUUUGCUGGUGUGGCAUGACUCAAAAUGAAAAGAAACAGCUGCAAACAUCCAUUAAUAAUUAGAACAUGGAAUGCAUGAAGUAUGAAUCUAGGAAAACUGGAAGUCUUCAAAGAUGAAAUGGAACUAAUAAAGGUUUACAUCCUACACCUUAGCUGAAAUGGAUGAAAUUGGUAUUGGUCAUUUUGAAUUGGACAAUCAUAUGGUCUGCUACACCAGGAAUGACAGAUUGAAGAGGAAUGGUGUCACAUUCAUUGUCAAAAAGAAUAUUUCAAGAUCUGUCCUAAAGUCCAGUGCUGUCAGUGACAGGAUAACAUCCAUAUGCCUACAAGGAAGACCACUUAAUAUGACUCUUAUUCAAGUUUAUGCACCAACCCCUGAGACCAAAGAUGAAGAAGUUGAAGAUUUUUACCAACUUCUGCGUUCUGAAAUUGACCAAACAUGUAAUCAAGAUGCAUUGAUAAUUACUGGUGAUUGGAAUGCAAAAGUUGGAAACAAAGAAGAAGGAUCAGUAGUUGGAAAAUGGCCAAAACAACAGAAGGCUCUGCAACAGGUUCAGGCUGCUAUGCAAGCUGCUCUGCCACUUGGGCCACAUGAUCCGACUGAUCCAAUGGUGCUUGAGGUGGCCGUGGUGGAUAGAAAUGCUGUUUGGAGUCUUUGGCAGGCUCCUAUUGGUGAAUCACAGUGCAGACCCUUAGGAUCUUGGAGUAAAGACCUGCCAUCCUCUGCGGAUAACUACUCUCCUUUUGAGAAACAGCUUUUGGCUUGUUACUGGGCCUUACUAGAGGCCGAAUGCUUAACCGUGGGACACCAAGUCACCAUGUGGCCUGAGCUGCCCGUCAUGAACUAGGUGUUGUCUGACCCACAGAGCCAUAAAGUUGGACAUGCACAAUAGCACUCCAUCAUUAAAUAGAAGUGGUAUGUACAAGAUUGGGCCUGAGCAGGACCUGAAGGCACAAGUAAAUUGCAUGAGGAAGUGGCCCAAAUGCCCAUGGUCUUCACUCCCGUCACAUUACCUUCCUUCUCCUAGUUUGCACCUAUGGCCUUGUGGGAAGUUCUUUACAACCAGUUGACUGAGGAAGAGAAAUCUCAUGCCUAGUUUACAGAUGGCUCUGUGUGGUAUGCAGAUACCACUCAAAAGUGGACAGUGGUAGCACUACAGCCCCUUUCUGGGACAUCCCUGAAGGACAGCAGCGAAGGGAAGUCCUCCCAGUGGGCAGAACUUCGAGCAGUGUAUCCGCUCAUUUUGCUUGGAAGGAAAGACAGCCAGAUAUGUGAUUGUAUACUGAUUCAUGGGCUAUGGUAAAUGCUUUGACUGGGUGUCAGGGACUUGGAAGGAACGUGAUUGGAAAAUUGAUGACAAGGAAGUAUGGGGAAGAGGCAUGCGGACAAACCUCUCUGAUUAGGCCAAAGAAGCGAAGAUGUUUUUAUCUCAUGUGAAUGCUCACCAAAGGGUGACCUUGGCAGAAGAGGAUUUUAUCGAUAAAGUGGAGAGGAUGACACGUUCUGAGGAUACCAGUCAGCCUCUUUUCCCUGCCACUCUGUCAUUGCCCAAUGGGCUCAUGAAAAAAGUGGCCAUGUUAGCAGGGAUGGAGGUUAUGCAUGGGCUCAGCAACAUGGCCUUCCACUCACCAAGGCUGACUUGGCUGCGGCCAUGGUUGAGUGCUCAAUCUGCCAUUAGCAGAGACCAACACUGAGUCCCCAAUAUGGCACCAUUCCUAGGGGUGAUCAGCCAGCAGCCUGGUGACAGGUUGAUUACAUUGGAUCACUUCCAUCAUGGAAGGGGCAGUGUUUUGUUCAUACUGGAAUGGACACUUACUCUGGAUAUGGAUUUUCCUUUCCUGCAUGCAAUGCUUCUGCCAAGACUACCAUCUAUGGCCUUACAGAAUGCCUUAUCCACCAUCAUGGUAUCCCACACAGCAUUGCCUUGGAUCAAGGAAUUCACUUCACAGCAAAUGAAGUGUGACAGUGGGCUGUGCUCAUGGAAUUCACUUCAGGAUAAUGGAGAACAUGCCAGGUAGGUUGCGGCAGUGUCCUCCAGGAGGCUGUAUAUGCUCUAAAUCAGCAUCCUCUGCUGUUUCUCCCAUAGCCAGGAUUCAUGGGUCCAGGAAUCAAGGGGUGGAAAUGGGAGUGGCACCACUCAUUCUUGCUCCUAUUCACCUACUGGCAAAAUUUUUGCUUCCUGUCCCCACAACCCUAUGCUCUGUGGAUUUAGAGGUCUUAGUUCCAAAGGGAGGGAUGCUCCCACCAGAGACACAGCACUGAUUCCAUUGAACUGGAUGUUAAGAAUGCCAGCUGGCCAUUUUAGGCUUCUCCUUAUGCCUCUGGGUCAACAGGCAAAGAAGGGAGUUACCAUAUUGGCUGGUGUGAUUGAUCCUGAUUACUAAGAGGAAAUAGGAUUGAUAUUACAUAACGGAGGUAAAGAAUAGUAUGUCUGGAAUGUGGAAGAUUCCUUAGGACGUCUCUUAGUACUACCAUGCCCUUUGAUUAAAGUCAAUGGAAAACUAUAGCAACCCAAUUCCAACAUGACUACUAAUGGCCUAGACCCUUUAGGAAUGAAGGUUUGGGUCACCCCACCAGGCAAAAAACUACAACCAGCUCAGGUGCUUUCUGAGGGCAAAGGGAGUAUGGAAUGGGUGGCGGAAGAAGGUAGUUCUGAAUACCAGCUAUGACCAUGUGACCAGUUGCAGAAAUGAGGACUAGUUAUUUUUAGUAUUUCUUUGCUUUGUUAUAUCUGUGUGUGUUGGUGUGCGUGUGUGUGUGUAUCUAUAUAUGUAUAUAUAUAGAAGAAAAUACCUUUUUCUUUUAUUUCAUUACUUAUUAUAAAAUAUAGGAUGUAAAUGGGGCUAGUGCUUUUUUGGUUGUAUGUUGUAUCAUGUUAGAUGCAGGUAUGACUUUAUAAUUGUCUUUAUUUAGAGAUUAUGGUUUAAGGAGAUGUGUACAAGUGUCAAGUUGACAAAAGGUAGACUGUGAUGGUUAAGGUAAUGUGUCAAUUUGGCUAGGCCAUUUUUCUUAGUUAUCUAGUGCUGCUAUAACAGAAAUACCACGUAUGGAUGGCUUUGACAAACAAAUUUAUUCUCUCACAGUUUAGGAGGCUUUUUUUUUAAUAGAGGUUUUAUCUAGUGCUGCUAUAACAGAAAUACCACAUAUGGAUGGCUUUAACAAACAUAAAUUUAUUCUCUCACAGUUUAGGAGGCUAAAAGUCUGAAUUCAGGGCACUAGCUCCAGGGGAAGACUUUCUCUGUCAGCUCUGGGGGAAGAUCCUUGUCAUCAGUCUUCUUUUGGUUCUAGGAGUUUUCCAGCACAGGGACACUGGGUCCAAAUGACACGCUUCACACCCCUGGCUCUUCUUGCUUGGUGGUAAUGAGGUCCUUCUCCUCUCUGCUUGCUUCUCUUUUUUAUAUCUCAAGAGAGAUUGACUCAAGAUACAACCUAAUCCUGUAGUUGUGUCCUGCGUCAUUAACAUAACUGCCUCUAACCCUGCCUCAUUAACUUCAUAGAGGGUAGGAUUUACGACACAUGGGGAAAUUAUUUCAGAUUACACAAUGGAGGACAACCACACAAUACUGGGAAACGUAGCCUAGCUAAGUUGGCACACAUUUUGGAGGAACACAAUUCAAUCCAUAACAGCUAUGAUUCUCAGUGGUUUGGGCAGAUAUUAUGUAAUCAUCCUCCAUUUUGUGAUCUGAUGUGAGCACCCCAACAGUUUAAAGGGGAGUUUCAUUGGAGAUGUGACCUGCCUCCAGUGUAUGUGGAUGUUCAAGCAAAGUUCGCUCCCUCUCGAUCCUGCAUCCAACUUGUCAUCCUUGGACCUCUGGUUCUUGGGAUGUGAGUUAGCAGCCUGCAAUCUGACCUGCAGAUUUUGGGAUCCGCCAGCUCUCACAGCCCUGUGAGCCAGCAACCUGCUGCCUGACCUGCCAAUUUUGGGUUUGUCAGCCCCUGAAACCACGUGAGUCAGGAGAAGCCUCCAGCCUGAUGUCUGACCCAUGGAUUUGGGACUUGCCAGCCUCUACAACUGCGUGAGCCAUUUCCUUGAAAUAAAUCUCUCCAUAUAUAUGUGUGAAUGUAUAUAUGUGUGUAUAUAUAUACGCGCUUCACUGGUUUUGCGCCUCUAGAGAGCCCACCCUAAGACAUAUACAAGUUUUUGUGUGAACACAUUCUAUCAGUCUUUUGGAUAUAUCUAGGGAUGGAAUUGCUAGGUCAUAUAGUACUUGUAUGUUUAGCUUUUUGAGGAACUGACAAACUUUUCCAAAGGGACUGCACCAUUUACAUUCCCACCAGCGAUAUGUAAGGGUUCUAAUUUUUCCACAUCCCCACCAACACUUGGUACUUUUUGUCUUUUUGAUUAUAACCAUCUUUUUUUUUUUUUUUUUUUUUAGUGAGUUUGACGCCCUGGGGACUGGGUGGGUAGUGAGUUUGAAGUGGUAUUUCUUUGUGAUUUUGAUUUGCAUUUCCCUAAUGACUAAUGAAGGAGCCUGUGGUGCAGUGGUUAAGUGACCAGGUGCUAAUCAAGAGGUAAGUGAUUUGAACCCACCAGCCACUCUGGGAGAAAGAUUCAGCAGUCAGCUUCCUUAAAGAUUAUAGCCUUGGAAACACCUAUGGGGCUUCCAAACGCUACUCUGUUCUGUAGGGCCUCUAUGAGUCAGAAUUCACUCCGGGGGAAUGGGUUUUUUAAAUGACUAACAAAGGUCUCUAGGUGAUGUAAACAGUUUACUCUUGGCUACUAACCUAAAGGUUGGCGGUUCAAACCCACGCACUUGUACCAUGGAAGAAAAGUCCUGGUGAUCUGCUUCUGUUAAGAUUACAGGCAAGAAAACCUUAUGGAGCAGUUCUACUCUGUAACACAUGGGAUCGCUAUGAGUCAGAAUCAACUUGAUAGCAACUAACAACAUCGACAGUGACUAAUCAUGAGUCCCUGGGUGGUGCAAAAGGUUAACUGGGACUUGGAUACUGAGGCCCGGAGGUACCUCGGAAGAAAGGCCUGGUGAUCUACUUAUAAAAAGUCAGCCAGGAAAUGGGGAGCAACUGCUACUGGGUAUGGGGUUUCUUUUUGGGGUGAUGAAAAUGUCCUGGAACUAGACAAUGGAGAUGGCUGCACAAGCUUGUGAAUAUGUUAAAAAGCCACUGGAACUAUGGAGCAUAGUUCUAUUCUACCACACAUGGGAUCACUAUGAGUUGAUGUCAACUGCAUGGGAACUGGUUUGGUUACUCGACUCAUGAUGUUGAAUAUCUUUUUAGUUGCAUGUAUUCAAAUCCUUUCCCCAUUUUUUAACUGGGUUAUUUUUCUUUUUAUUGUUGAAUUGUAAAAGUUCUUUGUGUUUUAGGGAUAAUGUCCCUUAUCAGAUAUAUAAUUUGCAAAUAUUUUCUCCCGUUCUGUGGAUUGUCUUUUCACCUUCUUGAUAGUAUCCUUUGAAGCACAUAUGUUUUUUAAUUUUGCAGAAGCAUUGUUUUUAUUUUUAAACUUGGGAAGUAGCUACAUGUUUACAAUAAUAAUUCUUCCCAGCGAGGAAUGUGGUGUGAUUUUCCAUUUUGUGGAGUCUUGUUUUAUGCCCUUCAUAAAUCUUAGACAAUGUUCAUCUGGAUUUUGGUACCUGUCUAUUUGAAAUGUUUUAAAAUAUUUGUGGUUUUCUAUGUGGUGUGAUUUUCCAUUUUGUGGAGUCUUGUUUUAUGCCCUUCAUAAAUCUUAGACAAUGUUCAUCUGGAUUUUGGUACCUGUCUAUUUGAAAUGUUUUAAAAUAUUUGUGGUUUUCUAUUUUUAUUUUUAUUGUACUUUAGAUGAAGGUUGACAGAACAAAAUAGUUUCUCAUCAAAUAGUACCAAGUAUUGUUUUAUGACAUUGGUAAACCACCCCACAACAUGUCAACACUCUCCCUUCUCAACCUUAGGUUCCCUAUUACCAGCUCUAUUUGAAUUUUUUCAUAAGUAUUUAAAAUUUUUGGCAACUAUUUUUUUUUAUUGUGCUUUAGGUGAAAGUUUACAAAUUAAGUCAGUCUCUCAUACAAAAAUUAUACACACCUUGCUUUGUACUCCCAGCUGCUGUCCCCUUAAUGAGACAGCACAUUCCUUCUCUCCACCCUGUAUUCCCCAUGUCCAUUCAACCAGUUCCUGACCCCCUCUGCCUUCUCAUCGCACCACCAGCCACCAGAUGGGAGUUCCCCACAUGGGCUCAAGUGUCCACAUGAGCCAAGAAGCUCACUCAUCACCAGUAUCAUUGUCUAUCUUACUGUCUAGUCCAAUCCCUGUCUGUAGACUUGGCUUUGGGAAUGGUUCCAAUUUGGGGCUAACAAAGGGUCCGGGGACCAUAACUGUCAGGGUCCCUCCAGUCUCAGUAAGACCAUUAAGUUUGGCAGCUAUUUUGAAAAACAUCUAAAUUUUCUUUUUAACAAGUUAUUUUUAGUAUAAAAGAAAUUCAUUGUUCUUAGGCGUCAUCAAGUCGCUUUUCAACUCAUAGGGACUGCACAUGACAGCGUAGAACUGCCCCAUAGUGGUUUCCUAGGCUGUAAUUCUUAAUGAGAGCAGAUCACCAGAUUUUUUUCUCCUGCGGAGUGGCUAGUGGACUCAUUACCAGCCGGGCACCUACCCAUUGUGCCACCAGGGCUCCUUAUAAAAGAAAUCUACUGCUAAACUCUACAUAGUUCCAGUAAUUUUUGAGUCAAAUCUCAUGGAUUGGCAAAACAGUAUAGUGGGCAAUAGCACACACUGCCUAAGUUCAAAUCCCUGUGACUCUGCAGUUUCCUAGUGCUCAUUUGAGUGCAGGCCACUUACUACCAACUCUAAGGCAGUGACAUCUAAGAGAUCCCGUAUGUUGUAGGAGAAGCAGCAAAACUAACUUGUCAUUGUUAGGUGCCAUCCAGUUAGUUCUGACAGAACAAAGCACUGCCCGGUCCUGCACCAUCCUCGCAAUUGUUGCUAUGUUUGAGCUCAUUGUUGUAGCUACUGUGUCAGUCUAUCUCAUUGAGGGUCUUCCUCUUUUUUGCUGGCCCUCUGCUUUACCAAGGAUGAUGUCCUACUCCAGGGACUGGUCCCUUCUAAUAACCUGUCCAAAGUAUGUAAGAUGAAGUCUCGCCAUCCUCGCUUCUAAAGAGCAUUCUGGCUGUACUUAUUCCAAGACAAAUUUGUUCAUUUUUCUCUCGUUGCAUAGUAUAUUCAGUAUUCUUUGCCAACACCAUAAUUCAAAUCCAUCAAUUCUUCUUCGGUCUUCCUUAUUCAUUGUCCAGCUUUCACAUGCAUAUGAGGUGAUUGAAAAUACCAUGGCCUGGGUUGGGUGCACCUUAGUCCUCAAAGUGACAUCUUUGCUUUUGAACACUUUAAAGAGGUCUUUUGGAGCAGAUUGCCCAAUGCAAUAUGUCGUUUGACUUCUUGACUGCUGCUUCCAUGGGUACUGAUUGUGGAUCCGAGUAAAAUGAAAUCCUUGACAACUUCAAUCUUUUCUCUGUUUAUCAUGAUGUUGCUUAUUGGUCCAGUUGUGAGGCUUUUUGUUUUCUUUAUGUUAAGGUGUAAGCCAUACUGAAGGCUGAGGUCUUUGAUUUUCAUCAGUAAGUGCUUCAAGUCCUCUUCACUUUCAGCAAGGAAGGUUAUGUCGUCUGCAGACUGCAGGUUGUUAAUGAGUCUUCCUCCAAUCCUGAUGCCACGUUUUUCUGCAUGUACUCCCCCUUCUCAGAUUAUUUGUUCAGCAUACAGAUUGAAUAAGUAUGAUGAAAGGAUACAAUCCUGACACACACCUUCCCUGAAUUUAAACCACGCGGUAUCCCCUUGUUCUGUUUGAAUGACUGCCUCUUGGUCUAUGUAAAGGCUCCUCAUGAGUACAAUUAAGUGUUCUGGAAUUCCCAUUGUUUGCGAUGUUAUCCAUAAUUUGUUAUGACCCACACAGUCAAGUGCCUUUGCAUAGUCAAUAAAACACAGAAAAACAUCUUUCUGGUAUUCUCUGCUUUUACCCAGUAUCCAUCUGACAUCAGCAAUGAUAUCCCUCAUUCCACAUCCUCUUCUCGAUCCAGCUUGAAUUUCUGGCAGAUUCCUGUCGAUAUACUACUGCAACUGCUUUUUAAUUCAGCAGAGUUUUAGUUGUGUGUGAUAUUAAUGAUAUUGUUCAUUAAUUUCCUCAUUCUUCUGGAUCACCUUUCUUUGGCAUAGGCAUGAAUAUGAAUCUUAUCCAUUCUGUUCGCCAGGUAGCUGUCUUCCAGAUUUCUUGGCAUGGAUGAGUGAGCUGUUCCCGCGCUGUAUCUGUUGAAACUUCUCAACUGGUAUUCCGUUAAUUCCUGGAGCCUUGUUUUUCACCAGUACCUUCAGUGCAGCUUGGACUUCUUCCUUCAAUACUGUCUUGGUUAUCUAAUACUGCUAUAACAGAAAUAACCAAAAGGAUGGUUUUAACAAACAAGUUUAUUCUCUCACAAUCUAAUAGGCUAGAAGUCCAAAUUAAGAGUGCAAGCUCCAGGGGAAGGUGUUCUCUCUCUCUUGGCUCUGGAGGAAGGCCCUUGUCAUCAAUCUUCCUCUGGUCUAGGAGCAUCUCAGUGCAGGGACCCCAGGUCCAAAGGACACACUCUGCUCCUGGCACUACUUUCUUGGUAGUAUGAGGUCUCUCUGUCUCUCUGCUCGCUUCUCUCUUUUAUAUCUUAAAAGAGAUUGGCUUAAGACACAACCUAAUCUAGAUUGAGUCCUCCCUCAUUAAUAAAACUGUCUCUAAUCUUGCCUCAUUAACAUCAUAGAAGUAGAAUUUACAACACAUAGGACAAUUAUACAAGAUGACAAAAUGGUGGACAGUCACACAAUACUGGAAAUCAUGGCCUAGCCAAGUUGGCACUUAUUUUUGGGAGACACAAUUCAAUCCAUGAAAAAUAUCAUCUGGUCUUGAUCGUAUGCUACCUCCUGAAGUGGUUGAAAGUCGACCAAUUCUUUUUGGUACAGUGACUCUAUAUUCCUUCCAUCUUCUUUUGAUGCUUCCUGUGUCAUUUGAUAUUUUGUCCAUAGAAUCCUUCACUAUUGCAACAACUCGAGGCUUGAAUUUUUUCUUCAUUUCUUUCAGUUUGAGAAAUGCCAAGUAUAUUCUUCCCUUUUGGAUUUCUAACUCCAGCUCUUUACACAUUCAUUAUGAUACUUUACUUUGUUUUCUUGAGCUCACCUGUGCAAUUUUCUGUUCAGCUCUUUUACGUCAUCAUUUUUUGUGUUUGCUUUAGCUACCCUACACUGAAGAGCAAGUUUCACAGUCUCUUCUGACAUCUCUUUUGGUCUUUUCUUUCUUUCUUACACUCUGUUAAAAGUCAAAGUAAGGGAGGAGGUGGGGCCAAGGUGGCGGAAUAGCCAGAUGGUUCCUGUGAUUCCCCUUACAACAAAAACCAAAAAAAACAAGUGAAAUGGUUAUAUUUAUGACAAGCUAUUUUUUAGGAGCUCUGAACAUCAAAGGCAAGGUUACAAGAGGGUCUGAGCGGCAGGGGGAGGGUUCAGAAGCGGAGAGGAGUUACUGGUCCUGAAUUGCCGGGAUCCCUCAGGCACCAUUCCUGUGAGUUCCUGUGCCAGGCUGGUGGUAGCGUUCGGCUGCAGUUUCCUCAGGGAGAAGCGACCAGCUGCACAGCCUACUCACACCUCCAGAACCAGAGAAGAACGGUGCUCUCGGCAAAAGCUAAGUACACAUAUAUAUUUUAACAUGUCCCCAGCCCCCAAGCCAACUUCAGUGGCUGUUGAUUUCCCUGAGCCUGAGAUAGGCCCUAUUAAGCACCCUGAGCCAUCCUCCUGGCCUUGGAGUAGGAAUAAAUUCACAAUUGGGUGAAAAGAUAAUUUGCCAGGUCCACUAACCUGGGGAGCCCAGGACAGAAGCAGCUCCUGUCCAGGCAUAAACACUCUGUGGACAUUGAAUACCUUUUCCCCCUUCAUGGUCCUGUGUGGAACUAUUUCUGGAGAAUAGACCCUUGUUGGCAGACUGCAACCAUUUCAGCUCUGUGGCAAAGGUGUGCGUGUUUGAUAUUUGACACCACUUUGCCUAUUAAACAGGGUCCUCACCUACCCACAUCAGGGGCAUAAGGACUGGUGGCUCCACUCAGGUCACCCAGCCAACCGCGACAGGGGCCCAAGGAUAACUGGUACCUCCCAGUCCUUACAACCAAAAGCACUGGGUGUCCAAGGUCCGUCUGCAGAACCCGCCCACCUGUACACUCUGGGGAACAGGGACAUGCUUUCCUCACAGACACUCAGGACAGUUCUCAGCCCCCUGUCUUGUUCAGAGUGUGACCCCUGGAGCAAUCAGAUACCAGUAUAUACGCCAAUCACCCCUGCCCCUCUAAGACUGUAGGACAGAGCCUGUACCGCACACUUGAUGAUUGGCUACCUGGACAACUGAGCUGAAUUCAUACAAGAAAAGUGAACGGACUCAGACUGAUAUACCUGAUAACAGCUCUAGGCAUCUGGUGACAGGAUGUCAGAACUUCAAAGGUGAAAAUAAUCAGGCUAGCUCACUCAAGCAACCCAUUGGGGCAUAUCAAAACAAAACAAAGCAAUAAGCCAGGAUAUAGUAAGCAAACAUAAACUAAUACAAUAACUUAUAGAUGGCUAGGAGACAACAAUCAAUAUCAAGUGGCAUAAAGAAACAGACUAUGAUAGCUUCAACAAGGUCUCAAAACAAAGAAUCAAUGGAUCUUCUGGAUGAAGGUGCCUUCCUGGAAUUACCAAAGGCAGAAUUCAAAAGAUUAAUAUACAGAACUCUUCAAGACAUCAGGAACAAGAUUAGGAAGGAGACCAGGCAAUACGCAGAACAAUCCAAGGAACACACAGAUAAAGUAGUUGAAAAAAUUAAAAAGGUUAUUCAAGAACAUAAUGAAAAAUUUAAUAAGCUGCAAGAAUCCAUAGAGAGACAGAAAUCAGAAAUUCAGAAGAUUAUCAAUAAAAUUACAGAAUUAGACAAUUCAAUAGGAAGCCAGAGGAGAACGGACCAAGUGGAAGGCAGAAUUGGUGAGCUUGAACAUAAAGCACUUGGUGCCAAUAUAUUUGAAGAAAAAUCAGAUAAAAGAAUUUUAAAAAAUGAAGAAACCUUAAGAAUCAUGUGGGACUCUAUUAAGAGAAAUAACCUACGAGUGAUUGGAGUACCAGAACAGAGAGGGAUAACAGAAAAUACAAAGAGAAUUGUUGAAGAUUUGUUGGCAGAAAACUUCCCUGAUACCGUGAAAGAUGAGAAGAUAUCUAUCCAAGAUGCUCAUCAAACUCCACAUAAGGUAGAUUUUAAAAAGAAAGUCAUCAAAACAUAUUAUAAUCAAACUUGCCAAAACCAAAGGUAAAGAGAGAAUUUUAAGAGCAGCUAGGGAUAAACAAAAAGUCACCUACAAAGGACAGACAAUAAGAAUAAGCUCAGACUACUCGGUAGAAUCCAUGCAGACAAGAAGGCAAUGGGAUGACGUAUAAAGUACUGAAGGAAAAAAAAUUUCCAGCCAAGAAUCAUGUAUCCAGCAAACUGUCUCUCAAAUAUGAAGGUGAAAUUAGGACAUUUCCAGAUAAAUAGAAGUCUAGGGAAUUCAUAAAAACCAAACCAAAACUGCAAGAAAUACUAAAGGGAGUUCUUUAGUUAGAAGAUCAAUACUAUCAGGUAUCGACCCAAGACUAGAACACUGGACAGAGCAAUUAGAGGUCAACCCAGACAGGGAAGUCACAAAAAUAAAUCAAGAUUAAAAAAAACACUCAAAACAGAGAAACAGCAAUAUUAUUAGGUAAAAAAAGACAACAUUAAAACAAGAAAGUGAGACUAAGAAAUGUAGUCAGAGAUCUUUCAUAUGGAGAGGAAGACAAGGCAAUAUAAAGAAAUAAAAGUUAGGUUUAAACUUAGAAAAAUAGGGGUAAAUAUUAAGGUAACCACAAAGGAGACUAACUAUCCUACUCAUCAAAAGAAAAUACAAGAAAAAAAUAGAGACUCAGCAGAACCAAAUUCAACAACAAUGAAUAUGAGGAAAAGACAAUAUAUAAAGAUAACUACUUAGCACAAAAAAUUAAAUGGAAGAGAGAAACUAUCAACAGCACACAAAAAAAGACAUCAAAAUGACAGCACUAAACUCAUACCUAUCUAUAAUUAUGCUGAAUGUAAAAGGGCUAAAUGCACCAAUAAAGAGACAGAGAAUGGCAGAAUGGAUAAAAAACAUGAUCUGUCUACAUGCUGCCUAAAAGAGACACACCUUAGACUUACAGACACAAACUAAAACUCAAAAGGAUGGAAAAAAAUGUAUCAAGCAAACAAACAAAAAAGAACAGGAGUGGCAGUAUUAAUUUCUGAUAAAAUAGACUUUAAAGUUAAAUCCACCACAAAGGACAAGGAAGGACACUAUAUAAUGAUUAAAGGGAUAAUAUACCCAGAGGAUAUAACCAUAUUAAUAUAUUUAUGCACCCAGUGAAGGGAUGCAAGAUUCAAACAAACUCCAACAGCGUUGAAAAAUAAGAUAGACAGCUCCACAAUUAUGUUAGUCUAGUAGGAGACUUCAACACACGACUUUCAAUGAAGGACAGGACAUCCAGUAAGAAGCUCAAUAAAGACACGGAACAUCUAAAUGUCACAGUUAACCAACUUGACCUCAUAGACAUAUACAGAACACUCCAACCAACAGAAGGCAAGUAUACUUUCUUUUCUAGUGCACAUGGAACAUUCUCUAGAAUAGAUCACAUAAUUAGGUCAUAAAGAAAGUCUUAGCAGAAUCCAAAACAUCAAAAUAUUACAAAGCAUCUUCUCUGACCGUAAGGCCAUAAAAGUAGAAAUCAAUAACGGAAAAAGCAGGGAAAAGAAAUCAAACACUUGGAAACUGAAUGAUAUCCUACUCAAAAAUGACUGGGUUAUAGAAGACAUUAAGAAUGAAAUAAAGAAAGUCAUAGAAUCCAAUGAGAAUGAAAACACUUCCUAUCAGAACCUUUGGGAUACAAUGAAAGCAGUGCUCAAAGGUCAAUUUAUAUCAAUAAAUGCACACAUCCAAAAGGAACAAAGGGUCAAAAUCAAAGAAUUAUCCCUACAACUUGAACAAAUAGGAAAAGAGCAACAAAAGUAACCCUCAGGCACCAGAAGAGAGCAAAUAAUAAAAAUUAGAGCAGAAUUAAAUAAAAUAGAAAACAGAAAAACAAUUGAAAGAGUUAACAAGACCAAAAGCUGGUUCUUUGAAAAAAUUAACAGAAUUGAUAAACCAUUGUCCAAACCGACAAAAGAAAAACAGGAAAGGAAGCAAAUAACCUGAAAAAUAAAUGAGACGGGUGAUAUCCCAAGAGACCCAAUUGAAAUUAAAAGAAUCAUAUCAGAUUACUAUGAAAAGUUGUACUGUAACAGAUUUGAAAACCUAGAAGAAAUGGAUGAAUUCCUCGAAACACCCUACCUACCUAAAGUAACACAAACAGAAGUAGAACAAAUAAAUAGACCCAUAACAAAGAAGAGACUGAAAAGGUAAUAAAAACUCCCAACCAAAAAAAGCCCUGGCCCGUAUGGCUUCACUGCAGAGUUCUACCAAACUUACAAAGAAGAGUUAACACCACUGCUACUAAAGGUAUUUCAGAGCACAGAAAAGGACGGAAUACUUCCAAACUCAUUCUAUGAAGCCAGCAUAUCCCUGAUACCAAAACCAGGUAAAGACACCACAAAAGAAAAUUACAGACCUAUAUCCCUCAUGAACAUAGAUGCAAAAAUCCUCAACAAAAUUCUAGCCAAUAGAAUUCAACAACAUAUCAAAAAAAAAAAAAAUUCACCA